UUGGAGAACAAGACUUCAAGUAGCAUACUUGAAGGAUUUGAAGACUUCACCUUGUAUACUUGCAGUAUUUGAUGACUUCAACU
Molecule: microRNA precursor, 83 nt
Filed under: Solanum lycopersicum (tomato)
Lineage: Eukaryota; Viridiplantae; Streptophyta; Magnoliopsida; Solanales; Solanaceae
Description: MIR8024 microRNA precursor family
Rfam family: MIR8024 microRNA precursor family
Source: Rfam by way of RNAcentral